RNAcentral lists this ribosomal RNA (586 nucleotides) under uncultured bacterium. RNAcentral's name for it is "partial 16S ribosomal RNA". It matches the Rfam family "Bacterial small subunit ribosomal RNA", at positions 355 to 1375 of the family's 1533-position model. The record is from RNAcentral.
UGGGGAAUUUUGGACAAUGGGCGAAAGCCUGAUCCAGCAAUGCCGCGUGUGUGAAGAAGGCCUUCGGGUUGUAAAGCACUUUUGUCCGGAAAGAAAUCCUUGGCUCUAAUACAGUCGGGGGAUGACGGUACCGGAAGAAUAAGCACCGGCUAACUACGUGCCAGCAGCCGCGGUAAUACGUAGGGUGCAAGCGUUAAUCGGAAUUACUGGGCGUAAAGCGUGCGCAGGCGGUUUGCUAAGACCGAUGUGAAAUCCCCGGGCUCAACCUGGGAACUGCAUUGGUGACUGGCAGGCUAGAGUAUGGCAGAGGUGGGUAGAAUUCCACGUGUAGCAGUGAAAUGCGUAGAGAUGUGGAGGAAUACCGAUGGCGAAGGCAGCCCCCUGGGCCAAUACUGACGCUCAUGCACGAAAGCGUGGGGAGCAAACAGGAUUAGAUACCCUGGUAGUCCACGCCCUAAACGAUGUCAACUAGUUGUUGGGGAUUCAUUUCCUUAGUAACGUAGCUAACGCGUGAAGUUGACCGCCUGGGGAGUACGGUCGGCAAGAUUAAAACUUAAAUGAAUUGACGGGGUCAUAGCUGUUUCCU